This 394-nucleotide ribosomal RNA is filed under the name uncultured bacterium. Its description in RNAcentral is "bacterial SSU rRNA". It matches the Rfam family "Bacterial small subunit ribosomal RNA", at positions 505 to 898 of the family's 1533-position model. The record is from RNAcentral.
GUGUCAGCCGCCGCGGUAAUACGAAGGGGGCUAGCGUUGUUCGGAAUUACUGGGCGUAAAGGGCGCGUAGGCGGCUGUGCAAGUCAGAUGUGAAAGCCCUGGGCUCAACCCAGGAUGUGCAUUUGAUACUGCACGGCUAGAGUGUCGGAGAGGAUGGUGGAAUUCCCAGUGUAGAGGUGAAAUUCGUAGAUAUUGGGAAGAACACCGGUGGCGAAGGCGACCAUCUGGACGACAACUGACGCUGAGGCGCGAAAGCGUGGGGAGCAAACAGGAUUAGAUACCCUGGUAGUCCACGCCGUAAACUAUGCGUGUUGGACGUUGGCGAGCCUAGCUCGUCGGUGUCGCAGCUAACGCGUUAAACACGCCGCCUGGGGAGUACGGCCGCAAGGUUAAA